Molecule: long non-coding RNA, 6189 nt
Organism: Lagopus muta (rock ptarmigan)
Lineage: Eukaryota; Metazoa; Chordata; Aves; Galliformes; Phasianidae
Exons: 4
Source: RefSeq, a predicted model, not a curated record
CCCGCUCCGGGCUCAUGAAUAUGAAGCGGCGCUUUACAUAUGCGGUCCCCCCGGGCCGGGGGCGCGGCGGAUUGUGGAGAAAGCAACUCAUUCCGUACGCGUUAAGGGAGCGUUUACCUGGCAAAACCGGCGCUCAGCUCCAUUUCUGACCUGCGCGGCCGCAUCGGGCAGCGCGCGCAGACAGCUUUAGCUAACAGAAAGAAGAGCUCCAGAACCGAUCAAUUUCUUCCCCAGCUGCGCAGGGAGCGGCGAGGGGACUGCCUGCUUCAUUUUAACAAGCUCAACCGCUUAGGAAAAUCUUUUAUUUACGACUGCAGCCCUACGUGAUGCAAACGGCAAUCUUUGAGAUCAAAACAUACCGGUGCAGACCCUCAGAAAGCCUUAAUUCCAUUCACCAAUGGGAACAAAAAUGCCCUCGCACAGCAUUUCACCAAAUGAACGUGGCUGCAGAAGCCAAGUCUGAAAUACGUAAGUUCAACAGAUGUGUUUGUAUGUGCUCACAGCAGAGAGGUGCCGGCAUUCUGUGCCUAACCUUAUGUAAAGGCUGGGCCUGUGGUAUAAAUGCAUGCGAGCUUUGGAAUUGGAGCCUGCAUAACAGAACUGCAGCUCUGACUACCGUAUAAAAGCAGGUAGUAAAAGCUUAAUUACCAGUAGCAUUAUGCUGUCUAUAUUGUUAAAUGUGAACUCUAUAAUUAAGAUGUAAAUUCACGUGUGAGCAGUGAAUUACAGAGCUCUGAAAUGUAGAGGAAAAUCCAACCACGCUGUAGAAACAUCAGACUUAAAUAAAUAAAUAAAAAUGAAAAUCAGUUUUUAUUAAAUUUUAGAAUGAGGCAUUUAAUCAUGUCACAGUAUUAGGAUGUUCUCUGAGGAACAAUUGGAUAAAUGUGGGUUUUGGAAUCGAAUCAAAACUGAAAUAAGACAUGUUUAUUCUAUCUAUCGGCACCUCUGUAGUAUACAAAACCAAAAUACAGUUCCUAUAAAUUGAUUUUCAUGUGCCCUUUGGCAAACUAUGAAAAUAGAAUUGUAUUGUCCAUUUAUAGAUUCAUAUUCAAAAAUGCUAUUUUUCAAUUUUAUACUAAAAUACUUCCAAAUCAUUUCAUGCAUAUCUGCUUUCUUACUUUAAGUGACCUAUACCCAGUCUGUAUAGAUAGGUUAUUUCAUCAAGCCGCUUCUACGUAUUAAGUUCUCUAGAAUAUAUCCUCCUUCAUAAGACAACUGAUCCAUUUAGAAAUGUACCAAAGCACAGGUCAGCUUUAAUUUCUACUUUUGUUCAUUAUUUCUUAAGACAGUGCUUUUGUAUUCAGGUGCUGAAACAUGAUGUCUCUUUACUUCUGCCACGGAAACCCUCCUUUCCCAUAGUAUUCCCAUAGGUUCUGCCACCUCAUUGACUUGUUCCACCCAUACCGUAUACCAUCAGAUAUCUUUUUCCUCUCUCUCCAUUUGCCAUCGCUAUGUUUCUCUCACCCAUCUCUCAUCCAAGCAAGUGUCUCUCUUCCCUGCCAGUGCUGCUGCUCAGGCAACCAGAAAUACAGUGCUAUAGUUUGCACGCUGAUAAACAAAGCAGUUGGCUUCUUCCCUGGGACUGAAAAUGCCACCUCCACCAGACCAGGGCCUGGAAUUCCAACUGUAUUCUCGAACUUGGAUUUCAGUUAUCCAUCAGUUUAGAAAAAGAAGAUAAGAAAUAUUACUGCAGGCAAAUAAGCUGGGUGUAAGCAUAGCUUCACUUUCCCAAGCUUCUCUGUAGAAACAAAUAAAAUAGUUCUAGGAAAAAAAGAGGGGGGGGGGGAGGGGGGGGAAGCUCCUACAAUUUAAUUAAAUUUUAUCGGGGAUGUAGAAUAAGAGCAUGCAUGGAAACGUCCAUCUGCACUAACUUAUCAAAACGAACAGUGUAAAAUCUUACCACAAGGAGUCUAUACAAAACAGUGGUAAUGGAAUCAGAGAGGGGAAGGAAAAAAACAUCCUGGAUGUGUGCACCAGUCAAGGAGCAUUACUGAUCAGCAUCUGUGUUUCCAUCUCUGUGUGCCUAUGUAAUUUGUCUUACAUAUAUUCCAUGUUUAAGUAUCUUCACAUUUAUAUACUACAGACAUUUCUAGCCACAUUCUUACAACACAACUAGCUCAAGGCAACUGAAGAAGUAUAAUUCAGUGGCACAUCACAGAAACUGCACAGUGAGUUGUGUCAAAUGUGUAUUUAGCAAAAGGCAAAGCUCAAGUCAACUGGCAGGGAGCAAGAAUGUAAAAUACAUUUUAUUAGCUGCAGAGAAUUAAUUUGAAAACAAGUACAUCAUUUACUUAUCAUAACAUGUUGGGAAUUGGACUCUCUGAUCUCCGGAGAUCCCUUUUUACCCUACAAUUCUGUGAUUCUGCAAAAUUUUGCCAUACAUUAUGGUACCUUGUUCAAAGCAUAACUGGAGAAUAUCAGUAAGUUUGAAAUAAACAUUGAGUAAUCAUCAAAUAUGUGGUUCUCUCUUUAUUCAAAAUCCUAAGUAAAGAAAUACAACUCCAAUGUUCUGUGCUCUGGAGCAAAGGCAGAACAAUAUUGUCACUGUCCACUGGUCUUACGACACUUUGGCCUUGUGUGCUUAUGGCUGGAAGGCACUUGGUGCAUCCUUGGGUGUGCUGCUCACAAAUGAAAAAAACCUAACGCUUUUAAACAGAAGUUCAAAAUCCCGCUCACCUGUUUGUAUGUGGUUGGACAAACUACAGCCAGCUAUUCCUUUAAAGCUACCUACUUCAGUCUGUAUUUAGGACUAAUUAAUUACUCCUUGUUUUGAUCUUAGGUAGAAAAAGCACAAGUAACACUAUCCCAGAGUGCUCUUUAAAACUUUUCUGCAGUUCAUUCACAAAUAUACAGAGCAAGGCAUGCAGAUUUUGCUCUCUCUAUUCCAGAGUCUGUGUGAAGUAACACAGCAAUUGUCUUUCUAUGUUACUAAACUGCUUUUGGUUCCUCUAGUCUCAAAAAAAAAAAAGAUCUCAGUAUUUUCUCCUCAUUUGAUUUUCAAGGGCAUGGGUAUUUAAAUGACUGCCUUCACUGGUACGGAAUAGAAACAGAAUAGAAAACAGUUCACACCACUGUAAAUGAAAAUUAUUCUCUUGAUAAAGCAUCUUUUCCAAAGCCUCUGACAAAACGAAAGGGGAAAAAAAUAGAAAAAGGAAGCUGCACAUGCUUGUCACCUACCAAAAAACAAUGACUCCCUAAAGAUAAUUCAGGUACACACUUCAAUAUGGAUAUCUCACUAUUAACCCAAGCUCUUUUUUUAGUGUAAGUUUCUUCAGAGAAGCUGAAGUGCAUUACUGUCUCAGACAGCCAAGGAUAAGAUGACUGAGGGAAUUCAGUUGCUCUGUUUAAUUAAUACAGGAUUAUUUCACUUUCAUUUUGUGGAGCUAAUAAUAUGACUGGUGGAAUGUCAGUAAAAAUUAAAUCAUAAACUAGUGCAGUACCAAAGGGAAAACUUACUUUAGUUAUGGAUUAUUCCCAGCAGAAAUCUUGAAAAUCUUAUACAUAUUUACACUGAUAAAAUACCACAUGUACUUCAUGGGAUACUGCGAGCUCUCUACAAUCCUUAUAGCAUGUAUUUACAGAGCAGGAGUUAACAUUUUGAGAUUAUACAUUAAUAAAUGAGUUGCAGUUAUAUUGUUUCUUGAAUGUUAAGCACCACAUACUAAGCACAGGAACACGUUCAAGGUCAAUGUCCUAUUUUAGACCUUUUCAGCAGCUGUGAUAUUAUGAUAAUCAUACUUAAAAUAUUCCUAUAGAAAGAGUAAAUUAGUCCUUUUCACUAGCAGGAUUAUUAUGAUAAAUAACAAAUCUGAAAGAGGACAAAUUCAGAUCUCUUAUUUUUCAAUGUGAUAACCUGUCAUCUCUUCCUGCGAUGGCUUAUCUGUUGAGAAAUAAAAUAAAUCCACAUUCUUCUCAUAGGUGAGAAGGCCUCACCUAUGUAAAAAUAUCUCUCUUGAAGUACUUUUCCUUUCUGUAAGAACCAAAACACUCCAAUUGGCAUCCCAUCCUAUCGCCUGUACUGCAGCGAAAUGUAAUAUCCCAUAAAUCCAGAAGGGAAAGAGGAAAACAGCACCAGCAGCUAUUCCUAAGCAAGAUUAGGAGUUUAACUCCAUCUAACUGGGGAUGAGAUGUGUCCCUCAGUGGGUCUUUUCCCACUUCCCCAUCAGCCUCCCACCUGACUGAAAGCUCAAGGUGCUGAACACAGAAAAGAAGACGACAGAGUGUAAAUAUUUCCGCAGUGAAAACCCAAUAGUCUUUACUAAGAGCUGACAUGAAUUGCUUGUUACACCGGCCCCAGGAUAUCACAGCUUGAAGCGAGAGCACACAUACACAGAGCCACCAACCAUUCUCAAACCUUCUGCGCUGUGUAUUUGUGCCUGUGCAUCCAGAGGAGGCUCCUAUGACAUCUGACUUGGAGCCUGUACACCUGCUGUACACAAUGCAUUAUCUCCAGCUUGCCUUUUUUUUCCACCUGACUGUCCCAGCCCAUCUUCCAUCACUCUUCUUUCUUUCUUUUUCUCUCCCUACUCUCCCUCCACUCCCUUCUCUCUGGCAUUUUUAUUAUUAAUGUUAGUGCUAUUAUUACUGUCCAAGCAUAAGCUGAUCCACAGGGGACCCUGUGUAAUUUAACCCCUCAAGCACUAAAUUCCUUCACAUGUGCCAAAGACACAGGUUUGUUGUUGCCUCCAGCAAUAUCCCAGGAAGACGAGUGAUGGCGGUGUCAUAUCAUCACACAGCGACUUAAUCUGUUGCGACACCCAGGGAACAGGUAACUGAAGAGAUUUACAGAACAUGCUCUCUGACUGAAUACAAAAUGUUAUCCCCUUUCCCAACAAACUCACGUCACAUGCAACAAAGUGAAAAAUUUUGCCCUCCUAUGGCUCAUCGUUUUCAUGACUGCUUUAUCCAAUCCCACCACCCUAUGAGUCACCCCACCGUACAUCUUCUAGCUAUACAACAAUUUUUUUCAUGUUUUUGUUCUCUCUCCUUUGUUCUUCUUAGGUUCUCUGAUUAACAAACAGCCGGAUCAUGUUGAACUGCCACGUAGCAUAGCUUCAGAAAUCUUUUAUCCAUACACUAGAUGACUGCAACCAUCACUUACAUCAGGGUUAUCUUUUUGCGCUGUCUUUAUGUUGUCUGACAUCUAAUGUAUGCUUUUUAAAACAACAGAUUAAAGGCAUUCCACUUUUUAAAGGAAUGCUAAGUUACAGACAGUUUAGUUACAAUAACCAUUGACAAGCAGGAGGGCAUCUACAUCAAGUACUGAGAAUCAAAAAUCUAAUCUGCGCGUCCAUCAUGAACUUUCCACACGGGCAUCCAUGUGGAUAACUUUUUGUUAUCCACAGACGUUAAGAAAACUCAGUGUAACGUAGAAGUGCACGGCUGUUCUCUCCAGGAUCAGGAUGAGAUCCUUUAUGUUCUAACAUUUCACUGACCUGGGAAGCAAGAAUUUGCUGCAGAAUUAAUCCUGAACUGCAGCAGACAAAUGAGAAUAAUGAAAAUGAAAACUAACUCAGAAUAACCUUACUGUGCUGGUAAGUCAGAGCUUUCACCAUGGGAAAUUAUCAUUUCUGAAAUAGCUAGAAGGAACUGGUGACAAAGGCUGAGUUCACCUGCUCAACAGUAAACAAAAUAUCCCUCCAUAAGGUGCUAGCUACUUGUAUCUCUAGACACCUCCAAUCUAAUGCAGGUAGGGGCUUUGGUACCGAAGGCAACUGAAACCUAUCCCAGUGGAAAUAUCUAAUUUUUCCUUCUGUAAACACAGCUUCUUAUGAAGUAAUGUAUCAGCUGACUGUCCCCUUAACAUAUUAAGCUUUGCAUAGAGGCACGUUCAGGCUCCAUGUCAAAGGAUUUCUCGGAUGAAGAAAUAUGUCUAUAAACCAAGUACGAGAAGGGGUUAAGCACAUCUUGUGCUUUUCCCCACCAUGAAUAUGAAGAGAUGACUUAAAUGUCUGCAUGGCCAUACAGCUCCCAGACAGGUCUGCAGCUCCUAUAGAAAGGGGGAAUUCACCACCAAUUGCUCUUCUCCCAAGUCCUACAGCUCCAUCCAACUGAACAUCAAAGCUCUGAUUUUUAGUACAAUACAUCAGAAUCACUAAUUAAAAAAGGUGUUUGUUGUGAUUAUUACAAUUAAUUUAUAUAUUUUUUACGGUACUAUUACAAUUGAGACAAUAUAAUCCUAAUGUCACC